GUGAACCGUGUAGUGUGGCGAGUUCCUGUGAAAAGUGUGGUCGCUUUUGGCGAGGUGGUCUGUUGUUUACCAACUUUCAGAACAUCGGAUUGUCUGACGUUUGUUGACAUCAGCCUGCAUGUAACACGAUACAUCCAAGGUCGCACAGGGAAAAUUCUGAGUUGAGGUUUCGAAAGGUGACUUUUGUGUCAGGUUUUGUUCAUCACGACUCUAACCCAGUCAUCUCUAAGCCACAAAGAUGUAUGAAGUUAUUGUUCUGAAAGAAGGCUAUACCAUUUCUCAGGGAGAAACCCAGCAGAGAGCCUGUGGAACUAUCACACUGCUGAAAGGACCUCACGUGAUUGUGGUGGAUACUGGAAGUGCUUGGGACAAAGACUUGAUUUUAGAUGGU
Gigantopelta aegis is the source of this 391-nucleotide long non-coding RNA. RefSeq lists it as uncharacterized. The transcript is spliced from 3 exons. Lineage: Eukaryota; Metazoa; Mollusca; Gastropoda; Neomphalida; Peltospiridae. The record is from RefSeq and is a predicted model, not a curated record.